Molecule: ribosomal RNA, 328 nt
Filed under: uncultured Chloroflexota bacterium
Lineage: Bacteria; Bacillati; Chloroflexota
Description: bacterial SSU rRNA
Rfam family: Bacterial small subunit ribosomal RNA
Source: RNAcentral
GAUCAACGCUGGCGGCGUGCCUAAUACAUGCAAGUCGAACGAAGGGUUUUGUAGUAAUACAGGGCUCUUAGUGGCGAAUGGGUGAGUAACGCGUUGGUGACCUACCCCGAAGAGGGGGAUAACAGCUCGAAAGGGCUGCUAAUACCCCAUGUGGUCACGAGGGUUAGAGGCCUUGUGACUAAAGAUGCAAAUCGCUUUGGGUGGGGCCUGCGUCCCAUCAGCUUGUUGGUAGGGUAAUGGCCUACCAAGGCUACGACGGGUAGGGGGCCUGAGAGGGUGGCCCCCCACACUGGCACUGAAACACGGGCCAGACACCUACGGGUGGCAG